RNAcentral lists this ribosomal RNA (497 nucleotides) under uncultured bacterium. RNAcentral describes it as "partial 16S ribosomal RNA". It matches the Rfam family "Bacterial small subunit ribosomal RNA", at positions 28 to 507 of the family's 1533-position model. The record is from RNAcentral.
GAUGAACGCUGGCGGCGUGCCUAACACAUGCAAGUCGAGCGAACGGACGAGAAGCUUGCUCCCCUGAUGUUAGCGGCGGACGGGAGAGUCACACGUGGAUAACCUACCUAUCAGACUGGGAUAACUUCGGCAAACCGGAGCUUCUACCGGAUAAUAUUUUGAACCGCAUUGUUCCAACGUUAAAGACGGUCUUGCUGUGACUUAUAGCCUGAUCCGCGCUGCAUUAGCUAGUUGGCUAGGUAACGGCUUACCAAGGCAACGAUGCAUAGCCGACCUGAGAGGGAGGUCGGACACACGGGAACAGAGGAAGAGUCCAGACACCGACGGGAGGCAACAGUAGGGAAUCUUACGCGAUGGAGGAAAGCCUGACGGUGCAACACCGCGGGAGGGAUGAAGGUGUACAGAUCGGAGAGCUCUGUUAGUAGGAAAGAACAUAUGUGUAAGUAACUGUGCACAUCAUAACGGUACCGAAUCAGAAAGCCACGGCUAACUACGUG